RNAcentral lists this ribosomal RNA (490 nucleotides) under uncultured bacterium. RNAcentral describes it as "partial 16S ribosomal RNA". It matches the Rfam family "Bacterial small subunit ribosomal RNA", at positions 30 to 507 of the family's 1533-position model. The record is from RNAcentral.
AUUGAACGCUGGCGGCAGGCCUAACACAUGCCAGUCGAACGGUAACAGGAAGCAGCUUGCUGCUUUGCUGACGAGUGGCGGACGGGUGAGUAAUGUCUGGGAAACUGCCUGAUGGAGGGGGAUAACUACUGGAAACGGUAGCUAAUACCGCAUAAUGUCGCAAGACCAAAGAGGGGGACCUUCGGGCCUCUUGCCAUCGGAUGUGCCCAGAUGGGAUUAGCUAGUAGGUGGGGUAAAGGCUCACCUAGGCGACGAUCCCUAGCUCGUCUGAGAGGAUGACCAGCCACACUGGAACUGAGACACGGUCCAGACUCCUACGGGAAGCAGCAGUGGGGAAUUUUGCGCAAUGGGCGCAAGCCUGAUGCAGCCCUGCCGCGUGUAUGGGGAAGGCCUUCGGGUUGUAAAGUACUUUCAGCGGGGAGGAAGGGAGUAAAGUUAAUACCUUUGCUCAUUGACGUUACCCGCAGAAGAAGCACCGGCUAACUCCGUG